Molecule: ribosomal RNA, 502 nt
Filed under: uncultured bacterium
Lineage: Bacteria
Description: bacterial SSU rRNA
Rfam family: Bacterial small subunit ribosomal RNA
Source: RNAcentral
AUUGAACGCUGGCGGCAGGCCUAACACAUGCAAGUCGAGCGUGAAAGGGCUUCGGCCUGAGUAAAGCGGCGGACGGGUGAGUAACGCGUAGGAAUCUACCUGGUAGUGGGGGAUAACGUUCCGAAAGGAACGCUAAUACCGCAUACGUUCUGAGGAAGAAAGCAGGGGACCGCAAGGCCUUGCGCUAUCAGAUGAGCCUGCGUCCGAUUAGCUAGUUGGUAGGGUAAAGGCCUACCAAGGCGACGAUCGGUAACUGGUCUGAGAGGAUGAUCAGUCACACUGGAACUGAGACACGGUCCAGACUCCUACGGGAGGCAGCAGUGGGGAAUAUUGGACAAUGGGGGCAACCCUGAUCCAGCCAUGCCGCGUGUGUGAAGAAGGCCUUCGGGUUGUUAAAGGCACUUUAAGCGGGGAGGAAGGACUUGAUGGCUAAUAACCUAGUGUCAAGUUGAUGGUAACGCAAGAGGAAGAGACGGCUAACGUCUGUGCCAGCAGCCGCGGU